UGGGGUAUAGCUCAGUGAUAGAGCACUUGCCUGGCAUGCAAAAAACCUUGGGUUCAAUCCCCAACACCACAA
Ictidomys tridecemlineatus (thirteen-lined ground squirrel) is the source of this 72-nucleotide non-coding RNA. The record is from Rfam. NCBI's taxonomy places the organism in Eukaryota, Metazoa, Chordata, Mammalia, Rodentia, Sciuridae.